This 200-nucleotide ribosomal RNA is filed under the name uncultured bacterium. Its description in RNAcentral is "partial 16S ribosomal RNA". It matches the Rfam family "Bacterial small subunit ribosomal RNA", at positions 8 to 210 of the family's 1533-position model. The record is from RNAcentral.
AGAGUUUGAUCAUGGCUCAGGACGAACGCUGGCGGCGUGCUUAACACAUGCAAGUCGAGCGGAAAGGCCCUUCGGGGUACUCGAGCGGCGAACGGGUGAGUAACACGUGAGCAACCUGCCCUAGGCUUUGGGAUAACCCUCGGAAACGGGGGCUAAUACCGAAUAAGACCGCUGGUCGCAUGACUGGUGGUGGAAAGUUU